Molecule: non-coding RNA, 241 nt
Organism: Paramuricea clavata
Lineage: Eukaryota; Metazoa; Cnidaria; Anthozoa; Malacalcyonacea; Plexauridae
Source: the annotation of a GenBank genome assembly
GUUCGAGUAUGUGAUAUUUCGGAACAGAAUCUAGUUCCUUCGAUAUCAAUGUUAUCUAAUAAUAAUCAUGAUUUUUUCUGUGUUGGUGUAAUGUACUCAGGUGAAUAUGAUGCUUGUGAUAUUACUCCGAGUGUAUAUCCACACCGAGCAAGCUUGAAAAAUAUGCCUGACCACGGUGGGAAUCGAACCUACGACCUUUCGAAUGCUAGCCCAAUGCUCUGCCAACUGAGCUACGCGGUCU